AAGGAAUAUUGGUCAAUGGGCGCAAGCCUGAACCAGCCAUGCCGCGUGCAGGAGGACGGCCCUACGGGUUGUAAACUGCUUUUGUACGGGAACAAACCCCCGGUCGUGACCGGGGCUGAGCGUACCGUAAGAAUAAGGAUCGGCUAACUCCGUGCCAGCAGCCGCGGUAAUACGGAGGAUCCAAGCGUUAUCCGGAUUUAUUGGGUUUAAAGGGUGCGUAGGCGGCAUGCUAAGUCAGGGGUGAAAGACGGUGGCUCAACCAUCGCAGUGCCUUUGAUACUGGUGUGCUUGAAUGCGGAUGAGGUAGGCGGAAUGUGGCAAGUAGCGGUGAAAUGCAUAGAUAUGCCACAGAACACCGAUUGCGAAGGCAGCUUACCAAGGCGCGAUUGACGCUGAUGCACGAAAGCGUGGGGAUCAAAC
RNAcentral lists this ribosomal RNA (420 nucleotides) under uncultured bacterium. RNAcentral's name for it is "bacterial SSU rRNA". It matches the Rfam family "Bacterial small subunit ribosomal RNA", at positions 356 to 773 of the family's 1533-position model. The record is from RNAcentral.